ACGCGCCAGGUCCGUUCUCACAAUCUUACCCUUAGUUCUGUUCCUCGUCCAGCCACGCUGCGCCUUCCUAUCCCCACUCAUAUCCAAUUCACCAACCAUUACCCACCCCCGAAACGACACACACACACACACACACACACACAAACGCAAACCUGUCUGCCACCGCCAUGCAGAGCAACUACCCGAAGCAGAACUGCGGGUGCGACUUCUGCUGCAGCCGCCGCUCCGUGAACGCGAAGAAGCUGGCGGCGAGCCAGGCAGCUUUCCAGCGAAGCGGCAUGAUGCAGCGCAACGGCUGCAACUGCUGCUGCCACAGCAGUGGGCCGGGCGGUGUCUCGCCCUUUGACCCCGACUACCCGGUGCCGGUCAACCAGACAGCCCUCAACGCUUCUCGCGGCCGCAACGGCGUACCUGAAGGAAACCAGUACACGAUUCGGAACAACUCCACGCGUGCGGCGGUGCCUGGCGCCUCGCAGACGGCCGGCGGAAACGGCUCGAUGAAGGAGACGGCGGAGCAGCGCGAGGCUCGCGAAGCAGCCGAGCUAGAUGCGCUGGAGCGCCUUCUCAUGCUGGAGUACAAGGCCCGGACGCAGGCGACGAUGGAGGCGGAGCGACUCAAGCGGAACGCCACGAGCGCGACUACUCGUGGCCCGAAGCCUGUGCCGGAAGGCUACACGAGUGGCUCGACAGCUGACAGGAUGGAGUACUCAGCCUCUGGUGCGGAGGGCCGCGGCAGAACAGCUGCCGGCGAGGGCAGCUUCGCUCCGGAUGCUUUUACGAUCCACGAGGCGUACGCGAUGGCGCACGAUUGCCCUGCAGAGCCGCCGGCGCAGUGCCAUGCUUCUCACCGCCUACAGGACACGCUGGAUGACGUGCGCAAGGUGACCGCGGACCCCGUCCACACCGGUAACCGCCGCGCACUGAAGCAGCUGCUGCAUCGGCAUGGUAUGGCUGAAGCGCCGACCAGCGACAACGGUGCUGCCACCGGCAAGGCCGCCAGCGGGACAGAGCCGAAUGCGUUCGGCUCGUCGCUGGCGCAGAUCCGCACGAGCUACGCGCACCCCCGCGGCGCCGGCCUUGUGUGGGUGCCAACGGCGCCGUCGGCUGCCGCGUCUCAGUCUUCCAUGAAGGACUCGGAUGUGGUGGUGGUGGAGCGCAGCGCUGCUGCCGGCGCUGGCAGCGCAAAGCGUCCUGCAGGGCUCUCGCCUGGCGCCGCAGCUGCUUUGGCCGCCGAUGAGAAGCAGGCGAGCUGCGCCGCAUGCCACUGAGACUGAGCUUCUCUUGUUUCCUUGCUCUCUGCCCACUGUGCGUGAUGAUGCGCGUAUGUAUUAUUUCUCCUCCCGUUCCCACGUGCUUUUUCUCCGACCUCUGCCGCAGGGCGUAUCGUCUUCCUCUCAGUGAGCGAGUUUUUAGAUCUACGCAAAGUAAAGCACGCGCACACGAACAGACACACGCACUGCUCUUCACCCCCUUCUCCUCUUGAUUUUUUUUUUUGCCUUGCUUCGCCCCUUCUCCGUGGAGCUGGCGAAGCACAGAAGCACGCACGGUUGUGCGUGCGUGCGUACGGUCCUUUGUAUGGCGAUGCUCGUUCAUGUACCGCAUUCGAUUUUUUUUUUGUUCACGCUUUUCUCCCGUGUUUAUCCCACCGCACUAUCGAAGGCGAAGGGGAAGGGGGCGUGUAUGUUUUCGCUUGCGUUCUUGAUGUACAUUGCACGCGGUGCUCUUCUUUCUCGGUCGCGUCUUGAUCACCGUCUCGUGUGUAUUGCGAGUCACUAG
Molecule: unclassified non-coding RNA, 1776 nt
Filed under: Leishmania donovani
Lineage: Eukaryota; Euglenozoa; Kinetoplastea; Trypanosomatida; Trypanosomatidae
Description: gene:LdHU3.32.0460(CDS-product:hypothetical_prote in_conserved)
Source: RNAcentral